UACAGAGGGUGCAAGCGUUAAUCGGAAUUACUGGGCGUAAAGCGUGCGUAGUCGGUUAUUUAAGUCGGAUGUGAAAUCCCCGGGCUCAACCUGGGAAUUGCAUUCGAUACUGGAUAGCUAGAGUUCGGCAGAGGGAAGCGGAAUUUCGGGUGUAGCGGUGAAAUGCGUAGAUAUCCGAAGGAACAUCAGUGGCGAAAGCGGCUUCCUGGACCAGAACUGACGAUCAGGCACGAAAGCGUGGGGAGCAAACAGG
Molecule: ribosomal RNA, 253 nt
Filed under: uncultured bacterium
Lineage: Bacteria
Description: partial 16S ribosomal RNA
Rfam family: Bacterial small subunit ribosomal RNA
Source: RNAcentral